GGAGCCGGGCUGUUCCACGCUCACUGCGCGCCUCGGGCGGCGGGGCUCGGGCUCUGUCCGAGGUGCUGAACUCCGGGGCUCCGGCCGCGCCGGCAGAGUGUGCCAGCGUCCAUUAUUGCCAGUGUCUGUGGGCAUCUUCCAGAAGGCCGAGCAUGGGGGUCAGGUGAAACCAGGGCGGCCUGCACAGUGGCAGCAGCUGUGGCCAGAGGGACACAGUGGGCACAGAGGCCCAGGGAGAGGAGCAGAGGCCAGCAGGAAACAGCAAAUGCAGAGGCCCAAAGUGACCAGGACACUGUCCUUGUGCACACCCUGGGAGGAGCCGAUGUCUAAAGAAGGGCUGAAGCCUGAAAAUCUGGCAGGACUAGAGCUCAAAGUCAUGGCCGCUUGGGGCAUUGUUAGAAAUGUGCCUCCUUGUGUUCUCCCAGUGAUGUGAUAAAGGUGGCAUCUCACUGAAAAGGACCAGGGUUAGGAGGGCUCAGGAGCUAUGGGGUGGCCCAGGGACAGACAGCUGCUCAUCAAAAUCAGUGUCAAAGCUGCAUGUGCAGCCCUGGUGCUCGGGGGGCUGUGGUGCA
RNAcentral lists this long non-coding RNA (572 nucleotides) under Pan troglodytes (chimpanzee). RNAcentral's name for it is "lincRNA". The record is from RNAcentral. Lineage: Eukaryota; Metazoa; Chordata; Mammalia; Primates; Hominidae.